This is a long non-coding RNA of Triticum dicoccoides, 763 nucleotides long. RefSeq lists it as uncharacterized. Lineage: Eukaryota; Viridiplantae; Streptophyta; Magnoliopsida; Poales; Poaceae. The transcript is spliced from 3 exons. The record is from RefSeq and is a predicted model, not a curated record.
CACCCACGGUUUCAGUUAGCUCUCGGCCUUAUCUACGCACGCUAAGGUGGGAAAAGGGUCCGGUGAUGGAAAGGCCACCUCGGGUUGGGGACGGUUCAAACGUGCAGUGGGCAUGGAAACGUUCGAAGGGGAAGAGGAUCGACGCCGCAGGUACAACGAGAGGGUAGGGAGGGAUGGCAUCAAGAUACAAGGCAUCAAAUACAGUGACCCCGGUGCCAUCACUCAGGUUGUCGAUUUUGCGUGUGCGGUGCCGAUGAUGGUACAGGCGGUUGCGGCGAAAACAAUAGAGUUGGCUAAGGCGAAAAUGGAAGAAGUGGCUAAAAAUAGACGGAGUUAAGUUAUACUCCCUCCGUCCCAUAAUAUAAAAACGUUUUUGACACUAUAUUAUUAUCAAAAAUAUUCUUAUAUUAUGGGACAGAGGUAGUACCUACCUACUUGGGCUUUAAAAAAAAGUGAUAUCUACUAGGCCGUGUGGGCCAAAUGUUUCCCGGUUUCCCAGUUGUUCUGUGGAGUGCGUCCAGUCCGUGGACUAAGAAAAAGGAGAAAAACGUUACUAAAAAAAGGAGAAAAACAAGAACGUAGGGAAAAUUUCUACCGCUGCAAGCUUUUAAUUCGUCCGUAGACUAAUCCCGCUACGGUGUAACCUUUUAUACCAAAGAAAUGGGAAGGAAUAAAGAAGAGUAAUGCCGCAUUGCUCUUCGCCUUGUUCUCGGCGUUUCCUUCUGAACACUAGGGCAUGUUUGGUCGGAGUCUACCGAUGUGA